AUACGGAGGGUGCAAGCGUUAAUCGGAAUUACUGGGCGUAAAGAGUACGUAGGUGGUUUAUUAAGUCAGAUGUGAAAGCCCCGGGCUCAACCUGGGAACUGCAUUUGAGACUGAUAAGCUAGAGUAUGGUAGAGGGGGGUAGAAUUUCUAGUGUAGCGGUGAAAUGCGUAGAUAUUAGAAGGAAUACCAGUGGCGAAGGCGGCCCCCUGGACCAAUACUGACACUGAGGUACGAAGGCGUGGGGAGCGAACAGGAUUAGAUACCCUAGUAGUCC
RNAcentral lists this ribosomal RNA (274 nucleotides) under uncultured bacterium. Its description in RNAcentral is "partial 16S ribosomal RNA". It matches the Rfam family "Bacterial small subunit ribosomal RNA", at positions 523 to 796 of the family's 1533-position model. The record is from RNAcentral.